This 63-nucleotide non-coding RNA is filed under the name Gemmatimonadota bacterium. RNAcentral's name for it is "Gemmatimonadetes bacterium Fluoride sequence". It matches the Rfam family "Fluoride riboswitch aptamer (crcB RNA motif)". The record is from RNAcentral. Lineage: Bacteria; Pseudomonadati; Gemmatimonadota.
CUUUCAGCAGGCGAUGGAGUUCGCCUUCAACCGCCCAUUCGGGCUGAUGACUCCUACCGAAUA